Molecule: ribosomal RNA, 634 nt
Filed under: uncultured bacterium
Lineage: Bacteria
Description: bacterial SSU rRNA
Rfam family: Bacterial small subunit ribosomal RNA
Source: RNAcentral
GAGUUUGAACCUGGCUCAGGAUGAACGCUGGCGGCGUGCCUAAUACAUGCAAGUCGAGCGAACCACUUCGGUGGUGAGCGGCGAACGGGUGAGUAACACGUAGGUGAUCUGCCCAUCAGACGGGGACAACGAUUGGAGACGAUCGCUAAUACCGGAUAGGACGAAAGUUUAAAGGUGCUUCUGGCACCGCUGAUGGAUGAGCCUGCGGCGCAUUAGCUAGUUGGUAGGGUAAAGGCCUACCAAGGCGACGAUGCGUAGCCGACCUGAGAGGGUGAACGGCCACACUGGGACUGAGACACGGCCCAGACUCCUACGGGAGGCAGCAGUAGGGAAUCUUCGGCAAUGGGCGAAAGCCUGACCGAGCAACGCCGCGUGAAUGAUGAAGGCCUUCGGGUUGUAAAAUUCUGUUAUAAGGGAAGAACGACUUUAGUAGGAAAUGGCUAGAGUGUGACGGUACCUUAUGAGAAAGCCACGGCUAACUACGUGCCAGCAGCCGCGGUAAUACGUAGGUGGCGAGCGUUAUCCGGAAUUAUUGGGCGUAAAGAGCGCGCAGGUGGUUGAUUAAGUCUGAUGUGAAAGCCCACGGCUUAACCGUGGAGGGUCAUUGGAAACUGGUCGACUUGAGUGCAGAAGA